This is a non-coding RNA of Schistosoma curassoni, 45 nucleotides long. Lineage: Eukaryota; Metazoa; Platyhelminthes; Trematoda; Strigeidida; Schistosomatidae. The record is from Rfam.
AUCCAGAUGACGAGUUCCCAAUAGAACGAAAUGCACAUCCCGUAU